UUAUUGAGAGUUUGAUCCUGGCUCAGGACGAACGCUGGCGGCGUGCCUAACACAUGCAAGUCGAACGGAGAUAAACGCUGAUUUGAAAGUAGCUUGCUACCCGAUUUUCUUGUUUAUCUUAGUGGCGGACGGGCGAGUAACGCGUGAGCAACCUGCCCUUCAGUGGGGAACAACAGUUGGAAACGACUGCUAAUACCGCAUAACGUGCAACCGGGGCAUCCCGGAUGUACCAAAGGAUUUAUUCGCUGAAGGAUGGGCUCGCGUCCGAUUAGCUAGAUGGUGGGGUAACGGCCUACCAUGGCGACGAUCGGUAGCCGAACUGAGAGGUUGAUCGGCCGCAUUGGGACUGAGACACGGCCCAGACUCCUACGGGAGGCAGCAGUG
RNAcentral lists this ribosomal RNA (384 nucleotides) under Oscillospiraceae bacterium. RNAcentral's name for it is "bacterial SSU rRNA". It matches the Rfam family "Bacterial small subunit ribosomal RNA", at positions 1 to 356 of the family's 1533-position model. The record is from RNAcentral. Lineage: Bacteria; Bacillati; Bacillota; Clostridia; Eubacteriales; Oscillospiraceae.